GAUCCUGGCUCAGGACGAACGCUGACGGCGUGGAUUAGGCACGCAAGUCGAACGAGAAAUUCCCCGCUUGCGGGGAAAAGUACAGUGGCGAACGGGUGAGUAACGCGUAGGUAUCUGCCUCGUAGACUGGGAUAGCCCCGGGAAACCGGGGGUAAUACCGGAUAUGUUUUACGAAACAAAGGUGGCCUCUGUUUACAAGCUGCCGCUAUGAGAUGAGCCUGCGUCAUAUUAGCCUGUUGGUGAGGUAGCGGCUCACCAAGGCUACGACGGCUAGGCGGUCUGAGAGGAUGGCCGCCCACAUCGGGACUGAGACACUGCCCGGACUCCUACGGGAGGCUGCAGUCGAGAAUCAUCCGCAAUGGGCGAAAGCCUGACGGUGCGACGCCGCGUGAGGGACGAAGGCCUUAGGGUUGUAAACCUCUUUCGCCUGUUAAGAAAGUACUAGGGUUAAUAGCUUUAUUGCUGACGAAAGCAGGUAAAGAAGCACCGGCUAACUCCGUGCCAGCAGCCGCGGUAAGACGGAGGGUGCAAGCGUUACUCGGAAUUACUGGGCGUAAAGGGUCCGUAGGCGGCUUGGAAAGUUGGAUGUGAAAUCCCACAGCUUAACUGUGGAACUGCGUCCAAAACUAUCAAGCUUGAGGAUGGUAGGGGACAGUGGAACUCAAGGUGGAGCGGUGAAAUGCGUAGAGAUCUUGAGGAACACCGGUGGCGAAAGCGACUGUCUGGGCCAUUCCUGACGCUGAGGGACGAUAGCUAGGGGAGCGAACGGGAUUAGAUACCCCGGUAGUCCUAUCCGUAAACGAAUGAAGCACUAGGUUGGGGGGCCUUCGGGUUUCCCUUCCGUAGCUAACGCGUUAAGUGCUCCGCCUGGGGAGUAUGCGCGCAAGCGUAAAACUCAAAGGAAUUGACGGGGGCUCACACAAGCGGAGGAGCAUGUGGUUUAAUUCGAAGCAACGCGAAGAACCUUACCAAGGCUUGACAUCUAGGGAUUAGGCCCCGGAAACGGGACUGACACUCUUCGGAGCGGAACCUAGACAGGUGUUGCAUGGCUGUCGUCAGCUCGUGUCGUGAGAUGUCGCGUUAAGUCGUUGAACGAGCGAAACCCUUGUCGUUAGUUGCCAGCGGGUAAUGCCGGGGACUCUAACGAGACUGCCGUGGUUAACACGGAGGAAGGUGGGGACGACGUCAAGUCAUCAUGGCCCUUAUGCCUUGGGCUACACACGUGCUACAAUGGUCUGUACAGAGGGUUGCUACACAGCAAUGUGAUGCUAAUCCCCAAAGCAGGCCCCAGUUCGGAUUGUAGGCUGCAACUCGCCUACAUGAAGCCGGAUUCGCUAGUAAUCGCAGGUCAGCUACACUGCGGUGAAUAUGUUCCUGAGCCUUGUACACACCGCCCGUCAAGCCACGAAAGCUGGGAGCGCCCGAAGUCGUCUGUCUAACAUUGAGGGCAGGCGCCCACGGCGAGCUCGGUGAUCGGGACUAAGUCGUAACAAGGUA
Molecule: ribosomal RNA, 1497 nt
Filed under: uncultured bacterium
Lineage: Bacteria
Description: bacterial SSU rRNA
Rfam family: Bacterial small subunit ribosomal RNA
Source: RNAcentral